RNAcentral lists this ribosomal RNA (488 nucleotides) under uncultured bacterium. Its description in RNAcentral is "bacterial SSU rRNA". It matches the Rfam family "Bacterial small subunit ribosomal RNA", at positions 77 to 564 of the family's 1533-position model. The record is from RNAcentral.
UGCUUUCUUUGCUGGCGACCGGCGCACGGGUGAGUAACACGUAUCCAACCUGCCCUUUACUCGGGGAUAGCCUUUCGAAAGAAAGAUUAAUACCCGAUAGCAUAAUGAUUCCGCAUGGUUUCAUUAUUAAAGGAUUCCGGUAAAGGAUGGGGAUGCGUUCCAUUAGGUUGUUGGUGAGGUAACGGCUCACCAAGCCUUCGAUGGAUAGGGGUUCUGAGAGGAAGGUCCCCCACAUUGGAACUGAGACACGGUCCAAACUCCUACGGGAGGCAGCAGUGAGGAAUAUUGGUCAAUGGGCGCUAGCCUGAACCAGCCAAGUAGCGUGAAGGAUGAAGGCUCUAUGGGUCGUAAACUUCUUUUAUAUAAGAAUAAAGUGCAGUAUGUAUACUGUUUUGUAUGUAUUAUAUGAAUAAGGAUCGGCUAACUCCGUGCCAGCAGCCGCGGUAAUACGGAGGAUCCGAGCGUUAUCCGGAUUUAUUGGGUUUAAA